This 497-nucleotide ribosomal RNA is filed under the name uncultured bacterium. RNAcentral describes it as "partial 16S ribosomal RNA". It matches the Rfam family "Bacterial small subunit ribosomal RNA", at positions 28 to 507 of the family's 1533-position model. The record is from RNAcentral.
GAUGAACGCUGGCGGCGUGCCUAAUACAUGCAAGUCGAGCGAACAGACGAGGAGCUUGCUCCUCUGACGUUAGCGGCGGACGGGUGAGUAACACGUGGAUAACCUACCUAUAAGACUGGGAUAACUUCGGGAAACCGGAGCUAAUACCGGAUAAUAUAUUGAACCGCAUGGUUCAAUAGUGAAAGACGGUUUUGCUGUCACUUAUAGAUGGAUCCGCGCCGCAUUAGCUAGUUGGUAAGGUAACGGCCUACCAAGGCAACGAUGCGUAGCCGACCUGAGAGGGUGAUCGGCCACACUGGAACUGAGACACGGUCCAGACUCCUACGGGAGGCAGCAGUAGGGAAUCUUCCGCAAAGGGCGAAAGCCUGACGGAGCAACGCCGCGUGAGUGAUGAAGGUCUUCGGAUCGUAAAACUCUGUUAUUAGGGAAGAACAAAUGUGUAAGUAACUAUGCACGUCUUGACGGUACCUAAUCAGAAAGCCACGGCCAACUACGUG